Molecule: ribosomal RNA, 831 nt
Filed under: uncultured Gemmatimonadota bacterium
Lineage: Bacteria; Pseudomonadati; Gemmatimonadota
Description: bacterial SSU rRNA
Rfam family: Bacterial small subunit ribosomal RNA
Source: RNAcentral
CAAGGGCAACCGGCGAACGGGUGCGUAACACGUGAGCAACCUGCCUUAGUGUGGGGGAUAGCCGGCCCAACGGCCGGGUAAUACCGCAUACGAUUCUUGAGAGGAGUCUCUUGGGAAGGAAACCUUUGGGGCACUGAGAGGGGCUCGCGGCCUAUCAGCUAGUUGGCGGGGUAAUGGCCCACCAAGGCGACGACGGGUAGCUGGUCUGAGAGGAUGGCCAGCCACAUUGGGACUGAAGAGACGGCCCAGACUCCUACGGGAGGCAGCAGUGGGGAAUCUUGCGCAAUGGCCGAAAGGCUGACGCAGCGACGCCGCGUGUGGGAUGACGCCUUUCGGGGUGUAAACCACUUUUGCCCGGGACGAAACCUGGUUUUCGAGUCAGUUGACGGUACCGGGUGAGGAAGCACCGGCUAACUCCGUGCCAGCAGCCGCGGUAAUACAGAGGGUGCGAGCGUUGUCCGGAAUCGCUGGGCGUAAAGGGCGCGUAGGCGGCUUGGUAAGGUUGCGGUGAAAGCCCGGGGCUCAACCCCGGGUCGGCCGUGGCAACUUGCUGGCUGGAGCACUGUAGAGGCAGGUGGAAUUCCGGGUGUAGCGGUGGAAUGCGUAGAGAUCCGGAAGAACACCGGUGGCGAAGGCGGCCUGCUGGGCAGUAGCUGACGCUGAGGCGCGACAGCGUGGGGAGCAAACGGGAUUAGAUACCCUGGUAGUCCACGCCGUAAACGAUGGGCACUAGGUGCUUGGGGGAGCGACCCUCCGAGUGCCGGCGCUAACGCAUUAAGUGCCCCGCCUGGGGAGUACGGCCGCAAGGCUGAAACUCAAAGGAAUUGACGG